This 610-nucleotide ribosomal RNA is filed under the name uncultured archaeon. RNAcentral describes it as "bacterial SSU rRNA". It matches the Rfam family "Archaeal small subunit ribosomal RNA", at positions 553 to 1162 of the family's 1478-position model. The record is from RNAcentral.
AUGUGCUCACACAUGGGCUGUCGAGAAUACUGCAUAGCUAGGGAGUGGGAGAGGUAGACGGUACUCUGGAGGAAGUGGUAAAAUGCUUUGAUCUCUAGAUGACCACCAGUGGCGAAGGCGGUCUACCAGAACACGUCCGACGGUGAGGGAUGAAAGCUGGGGGAGCAAACCGGAUUAGAUACCCGGGUAGUCCCAGCUGUAAACUAUGCAAACUCAGUGAUGCAUUGGCUUGUGGCCAGUGCAGUGCCGCAGAGAAGUCGUUAAGUUUGCCGCCUGGGGAGUACGUACGCAAGUAUGAAACUUAAAGGAAUUGGCGGGGGAGCACCACAAGGGGUGAAGCCUGCGGUUCAAUUGGAGUCAACGCCAGAAAUCUUACCCGGAGAGACAGCAGAAUGAAGGUCAAGCUGAAGACUUUACCAGACAAGCUGAGAAGUGGUGCAUGGCCGUCGCCAGCUCGUGCCGUGAGGUGUCCUGUUAAGUCAGGUAACGAGCGAGAUCCCUACCUCUAGUUGCCACCAUUACUCUCAGGAGUAGUGGGGCGAAUUAGCGGGACUGCCGCAGUUAAUGCGGAGGAAGGAGGGGGCCACGGCAGGUCAGUAUGCCCCGAAAA